AGAGUUUGAUCAUGGCUCAGAUUGAACGCUGGCGGCAGGCCUAACACAUGCAAGUCGAACGGUAACAGGAAACAGCUUGCUGUUUCGCUGACGAGUGGCGGACGGGUGAGUAAUGUCUGGGAAACUGCCUGAUGGAGGGGGAUAACUACUGGAAACGGUAGCUAAUACCGCAUAACGUCGCAAGACCAAAGAGGGGGACCUUAGGGCCUCUUGCCAUCGGAUGUGCCCAGAUGGGAUUAGCUAGUAGGUGGGGUAAUGGCUCACCUAGGCGACGAUCCCUAGCUGGUCUGAGAGGAUGACCAGCCACACUGGAACUGAGACACGGUCCAGACUCCUACGGGAGGCAGCAGUGGGGAAUAUUGCACAAUGGGCGCAAGCCUGAUGCAGCCAUGCCGCGUGUAUGAAGAAGGCCUUCGGGUUGUAAAGUACUUUCAGCGGGGAGGAAGGGAGUAAAGUUAAUACCUUUGCUCAUUGACGUUACCCGCAGAAGAAGCACCGGCUAACUCCGUGCCAGCAGCCGCGGUAAUACGGAGGGUGCAAGCGUUAAUCGGAAUUACUGGGCGUAAAGCGCACGCAGGCGGUUUGUUAAGUCAGAUGUGAAAUCCCCGGGCUCAACCUGGGAACUGCAUCUGAUACUGGCAAGCUUGAGUCUCGUAGAGGGGGGUAGAAUUCCAGGUGUAGCGGUGAAAUGCGUAGAGAUCUGGAGGAAUACCGGUGGCGAAGGCGGCCCCCUGGACGAAGACUGACGCUCAGGUGCGAAAGCGUGGGGAGCAAACAGGAUUAGAUACCCUGGUAGUCCACGCCGUAAACGAUGUCGACUUGGAGGUUGUGCCCUUGAGGCGUGGCUUCCGGAGCUAACGCGUUAAGUCGACCGCCUGGGGAGUACGGCCGCAAGGUUAAAACUCAAAUGAAUUGACGGGGGCCCGCACAAGCGGUGGAGCAUGUGGUUUAAUUCGAUGCAACGCGAAGAACCUUACCUGGUCUUGACAUCCACGGAAGUUUUCAGAGAUGAGAAUGUGCCUUCGGGAACCGUGAGACAGGUGCUGCAUGGCUGUCGUCAGCUCGUGUUGUGAAAUGUUGGGUUAAGUCCCGCAACGAGCGCAACCCUUAUCCUUUGUUGCCAGCGGUCCGGCCGGGAACUCAAAGGAGACUGCCAGUGAUAAACUGGAGGAAGGUGGGGAUGACGUCAAGUCAUCAUGGCCCUUACGACCAGGGCUACACACGUGCUACAAUGGCGCAUACAAAGAGAAGCGACCUCGCGAGAGCAAGCGGACCUCAUAAAGUGCGUCGUAGUCCGGAUUGGAGUCUGCAACUCGACUCCAUGAAGUCGGAAUCGCUAGUAAUCGUGGAUCAGAAUGCCACGGUGAAUACGUUCCCGGGCCUUGUACACACCGCCCGUCACACCAUGGGAGUGGGUUGCAAAAGAAGUAGGUAGCUUAACCUUCGGGAGGGCGCUUACCACUUUGUGAUUCAUGACUGGGGUGAAGUCGUAACAAGGUAACCGUAGGGGAACCUGCGGUUGGAUCACCU
Molecule: ribosomal RNA, 1530 nt
Filed under: Escherichia coli
Lineage: Bacteria; Pseudomonadati; Pseudomonadota; Gammaproteobacteria; Enterobacterales; Enterobacteriaceae
Description: bacterial SSU rRNA
Rfam family: Bacterial small subunit ribosomal RNA
Source: RNAcentral